This 263-nucleotide long non-coding RNA is filed under the name Brachypodium distachyon (stiff brome). RNAcentral's name for it is "long non-coding RNA (BDIS_LNC001556)". The record is from RNAcentral. Lineage: Eukaryota; Viridiplantae; Streptophyta; Magnoliopsida; Poales; Poaceae.
ACAACAAGAACAACAACAACCAGAAGGACCAGGGCAAGCAUGGUGGAGUUGGAAGCCUCAUGCAGGGCCUCAAGGCCUUCAAGAGCCAGCACAACAAGAACCAGCUCCAUGAGCUGAGCUCAGAGGAUGAUGACAUGUACGAUGACGAUGAUGAUGAGUUUGAGGAUGACUAUGAGGACGAUGACCUUGGCUUCCUUGGAGACAAGAUGAACCAGCUCAGCUUCCUCAGGCAGCAUGCUACGGCAGCAGCCAAUGCCAAGAAC